GAGUGCACACCUUGUUGUGUGUCGUCGCGUCGUGGAGGAUGUCGUCGAUUCGUGGGACAAGCGUGGGAGGAUGGUGGAAUUGGGGGAAGGGCCUUGGGAAAUAUUGGUGGAAAAAGAGAUGACAUUUUUGCCAAAGAUAGGAUCGAGCUCGUCAAAGUGGUCCAUCGUCGAGGAAGACGAUCGAUAAGAAGGAAACUUAAGCAAUGGAAGAAUGUUAGAAUCUUUCGUUUUUGUCUAUAGUGAUUCUGAGUAAAGAAGAAGAAGUGAAAACGAAAAAUUUAACAUUUGAGAUCAGUUGCAGGAUUGAGGAUAAUAUUGAAGAUUUAUGAGGCUGAGUUUAUGAUGUGGACUAAAAUCAUCGGCACGAAUCCAUUUAGAUCAAAUAGUAAUUGAAAAUUACAUUAAGAGAAGAGUUGACUCAUAUUGAUGGAAAUCUCAUACGUUGAUUAAGAAGAAGUUCGAUGGAGGGACGUUGCUAGACGAAAACAGGCCAGUGAGAAGGCUACGAAGGAAUCGAGGAUCAACAUGUUGUCGAUUACGAAAGCUCCAAGCUCUCACGUUGACAACCGUCGUCCUACACGUCGUCGACCUCUCUCUCAAUGAGCCUCAUUGUCUGGGAACCAGGCACGCGCCUCUUUUGCAUCUUGUGACAAUUUUUACAUUCGUCCUUCGGCCCAUUGCAUCCAUCGUUUUCGUCUCGAAGGAUCGAUUAUUAAAAAGUCGAGACUCGUUUUUCGAUAAGUCGGAAAAUUUUGGAAAAUUUAUUAAUCUUUGCCAGAAGACUACUCGAAAGGGUUUCACUGUGAUUAUUACAGUAAUCGAUCAAAAUUGAUAGAAGAUGGGAUGGAUGGAAGAUAGAUCGAGACUCACGAAUGAUGGAUGACGGGGGUAGAAUAGAUGUUAUUUUCGAUAGAUUAAGGGAUGCUUGAAAUGGAAGAAGAUAAGAAUCGUCCGUUUAUUUGAUUGCGAAAGAAGUUGCAGAAGCGUUAGGAAGUGACUAUUGAAAAAUAUUGACGAUAAAAAAGAAACUAAUAACAGGAUUUGCAUAUGAAACAUCAAUCGACGAAUUCUACGAAAGUGGAAAAAAAAAAAUGAGUCGAUUCACGCGAAUGAUUCAUCGCUAUCCGUAUGCCUAAUUACGCAAUUAUCUUUGAGAGAGAAUCUGAUCGGUGUUGCUUCCUGCUUCGACUGCCUGUACCUCCCUGAGAAUUUUUAAACACCAUUGUGUCACCGUCGCAUCAGCCUUUAAUUGAAAUCGUGACUCAUAAUUUUGCAAGUUUUUAAUAAACGUUGCAAUGGUCGUGAGAAGCCGACAGGGUUGAAAUUGCACGUUUAAUACUCAUUGUUCGACAGUCGACUUUUCGACUCGUCGUGAUUAAUCUUCCUCCGUUUCUAUUUUUUUUUUCUUUUUCAAGCGGAUGAUGAUUCAGUAUUUUCAAUGGUACGAGAUAAUCGCUACGUCUAGUCGACGUAAAAUUAAUCGUAAAGAUUCUCGUUUCCGAAUUUAUCACAAUUCUUAAUAAUUCUUAAUAACUAAUCAGUCGAUAUUAUUACAUCGUUAUUAACAAUCAAUUCCGAUUCCGUGAUUCACAAUUUUGUAAAUAAUAUGAUAAAAACCGUGGGAAGAAAACGAAUGAUUAGCAUUGAUUCGAGCGAGCAUUCGUCCAAGGUGAUCGCCAUGCACUCGUUUUCAUCGAUCGAAUGAAACGUGCGUCCACAUGAUGCGUGACGCAUCAUCUCGACGGCGAUUAAACCCAUAGAGAUCGGCAAGAAAUCCGAUAAACAACCGCACCCUGCCGAGGAUAGUCUCACGAUGAUUUGAAAAAUGGCUAACAUCUAUCGUUUUAUAGUACCUCAGACCUUGAAUCACUGUCGGCGAAGUUUCGCUAUUCGUGUAUACGUUUUAUUCCACGUAUAAUUGAGCUAACUUGCUUGCGCAACGCAUUGGGAAUUGUAAAAUUGUUAUAAGUUAACUUUUGUUUCCCGCGAGGAAACAAUUUCAUCCAUGCGCAUUCUAAAUUCUAAAUCCUUUUUCGUCGAGCUUUGCCAAAACAUAUUUGUAUUAAUAUAAAUAAGAUCUAUUCUAAGAUCUUCGAUCCUUCCGUCUAAGAGAUGGAAAUUCUAAAAAUAGAUUUUAUUUAAUCUCUUUAAUUGUUCAAAGCAAGCGAUUUACCAUUUAAGUUUCGAAAAAUACAAGAUCACGUAUCCAAUGCGCACGUAACCAAUUACCGGGGUCUUUGCAAGAAAAAUUGAAUUAACGCGAAGAAGGAAUUAACGAAACGCAAAUUCAGGCCUCUCAAUGCCGUACCAGAUGCGGUAACGCAAUAUCGUGGUUUUUACUUUAAAAGCGCGCCUCGUGUUCUCCCAGCACAACUUCGACAAUGCUAAUCCUGUCAAGAGAUAAAAGGUACACCGAUCCCACGCACUGGCCCCAAUUCUGGGUUCAAGUACGCCGCCGUUUACGAGACGCAUCCAUGCGUUUCUUCGACUUUUUUUUUUUGCCCGUAGUUGAUACAUCUUUGAGUAUAUUAUCCUUUUCGCGUUAAAAAAACGUAUAAAGAUAGAAUCCUAUUUUAUUCGCAUAACAGAAGAAAGAUUUUUCAUUCAAGUAAUUGGAAUUUAGAUUCAUAUGUUAUAUCUUGUGAUCUCUAUCUUGAAUAUAUUUUCUAAAGAAUUUUUUAUUCUCAUCUUAUUCUUUUUUUUUUCUAUCACUUUGUAUGUUUCUCUUAUUUCAUUAUUCUUCGUUUGAAAAUCAAAGUUAUGCGAUAUAAAACAGGUCUAUUUGCGAAGCAAAUUAUGCAAAGAGGGAAUCGUAAGAUUUAUUAACUAACGAUUUAAAUAUUUCCACUUUAAAUACAAUAACAAAGUGAUACGUAACGUUUACAUUUACAAAAGAUUGAGCUAACUAAUACAUAAUAUAUACGUUUGUCGAGGAAUGUAACAAAAAAUAAUCUCCAUGAUAUUUCCUCAACAUUUCCUUAACGUUAUCUACCUUACCAUCGAAUCUUCAUCUAAAUUUAUUUUUUACAUUCACCUCUUUCGAUAUACACACGAUUGCAAAUCAUCUUUCACAUCGCACUACGAGCCACAAUACAGAAAACGGCGAUUGUACAGCGUUAGGACAAGGCAACCGAUGAAACGUGGGAAAACGGUGAUACGUGUUACCGGUAUUACGCGAGCACGCUCAAGAAUUAUUCAAAAUGCAACGUUAUGAAGACGGCAAGGCCGAAUCGACUAAAUGAUUGAAUCCUUUUUAUCGAUCACCCCGUCAGUUUGGGUGAAGGUUAACGACGCGUUCGCGGAAAUGGAAAAACGAAGAGAGGAAAAGAAGCUCGUAAUCAGAAUUAAGAUUCAAUGUGAUAGAUUUAAUUGUAAAAAGAAACAUUUUUAAAAUGAUCUUUUUUAUUGCGUUUCAUCUCUGUUCUGAAAUUUGAAUGAAAUAUGCCAUACCUUUGGACGAGUUGUAAUUUGUGAAUACUUUGUUUCAUAGCCGAAACACGACACUGUCGGGACAAUUUAAUAACUUGAACUUCGUUGACGCUUGAAUAAUGAUAUCAAAUAAUGUCUGUGUCUUUUUAUUCUUUAUUACUCUUCUACCUGGUAAAUCGAUGUAAGGAUUAAAUUUAAUAAACAGUAAAAGAUAUUUUUUUCUUUUAAAAGAAUAUAAAACUCUUACUUUUAGUUAAUUUUUCUAUAUAUAUAUAAUAAAGUGGAGAUCUUCGUGUAUCGCGCAAUGCUCCAGUGUGCACGACUUUUUUAUUCUAUGACAAUUUUCACUAUGUUUUCACUACGUAGUCAUUAAACGUGAUUGCACAUUCUCGUUUAUGUCUGUUUCGAAUCGUGAUGAUUAGGCAAUCUUCAAGCUUCUUUUCCCAGUAUAAAAUAAAUACUAUAUGUGUAAAUUUAAAAAAAUAUGAAUCAUGGACAAUAUUAGAAACGCAUAUAAAACG
Long non-coding RNA from Apis mellifera (honey bee), 3950 nucleotides. RefSeq lists it as uncharacterized. Lineage: Eukaryota; Metazoa; Arthropoda; Insecta; Hymenoptera; Apidae. The transcript is spliced from 3 exons. The record is from RefSeq and is a predicted model, not a curated record.